UGAGCUUCCUUGCUGUAGACAU
Molecule: microRNA, 22 nt
Filed under: Saccoglossus kowalevskii
Lineage: Eukaryota; Metazoa; Hemichordata; Enteropneusta; Harrimaniidae
Also listed under: 1 other name
Description: sko-miR-4820
Source: miRBase by way of RNAcentral